Molecule: non-coding RNA, 558 nt
Organism: Paramuricea clavata
Lineage: Eukaryota; Metazoa; Cnidaria; Anthozoa; Malacalcyonacea; Plexauridae
Source: the annotation of a GenBank genome assembly
CAAAAUAUCAAAACUGUGGACGGUUCUUGAAUCUCAGUCAUUUCAUCUACGAAAUCCAGCGCUGUUUCUUUCAAUUCUUUCAGACAUUGAUGCAGGAAAUAAUAAGUGGAGGAGAACGAAAUGCCUCCAGUAAUAGCGAGGCCGACGAACGGAAUAAAACGAGCAAAUUCUUCAACUGCCGACCCAGCAGUGUAUACGUUGCAAGAAACGACAGCGAACUUUCUCCUGCUUUUCAGGCAUUAUUUUUUUGAAUUUGUACGAGUUUUCAUCAGGAAGGCCAAGUUGGGAUUAAUAGAAGAAACUCACUUCGUUUGUCAGAAGAACGAGAUCAACGGCAACAUUCAACCCAGGCAUGCAGAGGAAAUGCCGCAGCGGCAGUUAAAAUGCUAUUCCGUCAAAUAUUUUUUAACAAUACGAUUUCCAAGUAUAAGUCAUUUUCCAAGUAAAUCAUUUACCCAGAAUAAGGCCAGCGUCAGCUCGUUUCACAAUCUGACAAUCACAUGAUGUUUCAUAAAAUAUUAAAACUCGCAAUAAAUUAAAUAUGAAACGGUCACAAAC